RNAcentral lists this ribosomal RNA (383 nucleotides) under uncultured bacterium. RNAcentral describes it as "bacterial SSU rRNA". It matches the Rfam family "Bacterial small subunit ribosomal RNA", at positions 362 to 758 of the family's 1533-position model. The record is from RNAcentral.
UAUUGGGCAAUGGGCGCAAGCCUGACCCAGCGACGCCGCGUGAGGGAUGAAGGUCUUCGGAUUGUAAACCUCUUUCAGUGGGGAAGAAGCGAAAGUGACGGUACCCAAAGAAGAAGCACCGGCUAACUAUGUGCCAGCAGCCGCGGUAAUACAUAGGGUGCAAGCGUUGUCCGGAAUUAUUGGGCGUAAAGAGCUCGUAGGUGGUUUAUCACGUCGGAUGUGAAAUUCUGAGGCUCAACCUCGGACCUGCAUUCGAUACGGGCAAACUAGAGUGUGGUAGGGGAGACUGGAAUUCCUGGUGUAGCGGUGGAAUGCGCAGAUAUCAGGAGGAACACCAAUGGCGAAGGCAGGUCUCUGGGCCAUUACUGACACUGAGAGCGAAG